Molecule: small nuclear RNA, 110 nt
Organism: Octopus sinensis (East Asian common octopus)
Lineage: Eukaryota; Metazoa; Mollusca; Cephalopoda; Octopoda; Octopodidae
Source: RefSeq, a predicted model, not a curated record
AUCUUUAAGAAAAAAAAGGGACAUAUACUAAAAUUGGAGCGAUACAGAGAAGAUUAGUAUGGCCCCUGCGCAAGGAUGACACGCAAAUUCGUGAAGUUUUCCAUAUAUUU